AGUGAACGCUGGCGGUAGGCCUAACACAUGCAAGUCGAACGGCAGCACAGUAAGAGCUUGCUCUUACGGGUGGCGAGUGGCGGACGGGUGAGGAAUACAUCGGAAUCUACUUUUUCGUGGGGGAUAACGUAGGGAAACUUACGCUAAUACCGCAUACGACCUACGGGUGAAAGCAGGGGAUCUUCGGACCUUGCGCGAUUGAAUGAGCCGAUGUCGGAUUAGCUAGUUGGCGGGGUAAAGGCCCACCAAGGCGACGAUCCGUAGCUGGACUGAGAGGAUGAUCAGCCACACUGGAACUGAGACACGGUCCAGACUCCUACGGGAGGCAGCAGUGGGGAAUAUUGGACAAUGGGCGCAAGCCUGAUCCAGCCAUACCGCGUGGGUGAAGAAGGCCUUCGGGUUGUAAAGCCCUUUUGUUGGGAAAGAAAAGCAGCAGGUUAAUACCCUGCUGUUCUGACGGUACCCAAAGAAUAAGCACCGGCUAACUUCGUG
RNAcentral lists this ribosomal RNA (492 nucleotides) under uncultured bacterium. RNAcentral's name for it is "partial 16S ribosomal RNA". It matches the Rfam family "Bacterial small subunit ribosomal RNA", at positions 29 to 507 of the family's 1533-position model. The record is from RNAcentral.